GUGUCUGAGAUGGAGGCCUAGGUUUGCAGUCUGCAGAGCUAUCUACAGGGCUGGUGGGAGACCUCUGAAAAGAAACCGGAGAAGCUUGCUGACAAAAGACUGGAAUUCUGGGCUCAGCCGCCUCCAGGACCGAGGGGCCCAUUGGGCAAUCCAUCACGGAGCACACCUGGCCUGCCCAAAGGACACAGCAGAAAUGCUGGAAGACCAAGAGAAGCCAGACUGAAGUCUCACAGGCCUGCCUUCCAAUUUUACUUCUGUUACUUUCUUCCACCUAUCAUUUUGGGCUGGUUUCUUUAACUUUCUGAUUUCCC
This 311-nucleotide long non-coding RNA is filed under the name Piliocolobus tephrosceles (Ugandan red Colobus). Its description in RNAcentral is "lncRNA (ENSPTEG00000006791.1)". The record is from RNAcentral. Lineage: Eukaryota; Metazoa; Chordata; Mammalia; Primates; Cercopithecidae.